This 468-nucleotide ribosomal RNA is filed under the name uncultured bacterium. Its description in RNAcentral is "partial 16S ribosomal RNA". It matches the Rfam family "Bacterial small subunit ribosomal RNA", at positions 28 to 507 of the family's 1533-position model. The record is from RNAcentral.
GACGAACGCUGGCGGCGUGCUUAACACAUGCAAGUCGAACGGAAAGGCCCUGCUUUUGUGGGGUGCUCGAGUGGCGAACGGGUGAGUAACACGUGAGUAACCUGCCCUUGACUUUCGGAUAACUUCAGGAAACUGGGGCUAAUACCGGAUAGGAGCUCCUGCUGCAUUGUGGGGGUUGGAAAGUUUCGGCGGUUGGGGAUGGACUCGCGGCUUAUCAGCUUGUUGGUGGGGUAGUGGCUUACCAAGGCUUUGACGGGUAGCCGGCCUGAGAGGGUGACCGGCCACAUUGGGACUGAGAUACGGCCCAGACUCCUACGGGAGGCAGCAGUGGGGAAUAUUGCACAAUGGGCGGAAGCCUGAUGCAGCAACGCCGCGUGCGGGAUGACGGCCUUCGGGUUGUAAACCGCUUUCGCCUGUGACGAAGCGUGAGUGACGGUAAUGGGUAAAGAAGCACCGGCUAACUACGUG